RNAcentral lists this ribosomal RNA (433 nucleotides) under uncultured bacterium. RNAcentral describes it as "partial 16S ribosomal RNA". It matches the Rfam family "Bacterial small subunit ribosomal RNA", at positions 29 to 507 of the family's 1533-position model. The record is from RNAcentral.
AACGAACGCUGGCGGCAGGCUUAACACAUGCCAGUCGAGCGCAUCCUUCGGGGUGAGCGGCGGACGGGUGAGUAACGCGUGGGAACGUGCCCUCUUCUACGGAAUAGCCUCGGGAAACUGAGAGUAAUGCCGUAUACGCCCGCAAGGGGAAAGAUUGAUCGGAGGAGGAUCGGCCCGCGUUGGAUUCGGUAGUUGGUGGGGUAACGGCCUACCAAGCCGACGAUCCAAAGCUGGUAUGAGAGGAUGAUCAGACACACUGGGACUGAGACACGGCCCAGACUCCUACGGGAGGCAGCAGUGGGGAAUCUUGGACAAUGGGGGCAACCCUGAUCCAGCCAUGCCGCGUGAGCGAUGAAGGCCUUAGGGUUGUAAAGAUCUUUCAGCUGGGAAGAUAAUGACGGUACCAGCAGAAGAAGCCCCGGCUAACUCCGUG